This 375-nucleotide ribosomal RNA is filed under the name uncultured eukaryote. RNAcentral's name for it is "partial 18S ribosomal RNA". It matches the Rfam family "Eukaryotic small subunit ribosomal RNA", at positions 592 to 976 of the family's 1831-position model. The record is from RNAcentral.
CAAUAGCGUAUAUUUAAGUUGUUGCAGUUAAAAAGCUCGUAGUUGGAUUUCGGUUAAGAGCGACCGGUCCGCCGUUUGGUGUGCACUGGUUGGUUUUAACUUCCUGUAGAGGACGUGCUCUGGGUUUAACGACCUGGACUCGGAGUCUACGUGGUUACUUUGAAAAAAUUAGAGUGUUCAAAGCGGGCUUACGCUUGAAUAUUUCAGCAUGGAAUAACACUAUAGGACUCCUGUCCUAUUUCGUUGGUCUCGGGACGGGAGUAAUGAUUAAGAGGAACAGUUGGGGGCAUUCGUAUUUCAUUGUCAGAGGUGAAAUUCUUGGAUUUAUGAAAGACGAACUUCUGCGAAAGCAUUUGUCAAGGAUGUUUNCAUUAA